UACGGAGGGGACUAGCGUUGUUCGGAAUUACUGGGCGUAAAGCGCACGUAGGCGGAUUUGUAAGUCAGGGUGAAAUCCCGGGGCUCAACCUCGGAACUGCCUUUGAUACUGCAAAUCUCGAGUCCGGAAGAGGUGAGUGGAAUUCCUAGUGUAGAAGUGAAAUUCGUAGAUAUUAGGAAGAACACCAGUGGCGAAGGCGGCUCACUGGCCGGUACUGACGCUGAGGUGCGAAAGCG
Molecule: ribosomal RNA, 236 nt
Filed under: uncultured bacterium
Lineage: Bacteria
Description: partial 16S ribosomal RNA
Rfam family: Bacterial small subunit ribosomal RNA
Source: RNAcentral